GUGCCAUCUGGCACAACACCGUUCUGCUCAUGCACAGACCCACUCCCAACUGCCUGUAGCUACCAUCGCUUCUAUUCAAAAGGUCUCUUUCCUGAACCGUCUGCUCCUCCCCCUGCAUUCGUCAGAAGAUGUUGCUCAAGCUGCCACCAUCCUCUUAGGCCCCUUGUCUUACCUGGCUCCCAUUUCAUCCGCUCAAGAACCAUCUGUGGCUGAUGUGGACUCGAGAACAGAGCCCAGAGCUUUCAAGCCUCCCCGACAUCUGAACCCCAGAUAUCAGAUCCAACAGUCCACGGAGCCUGCUCUCAUCAACCAGAAGAAACAAUCAAUCCUCUCCCUAGCCACAGCUGUCAGGACUCACAUCACUUACCGGCUCUGCCCUCCAGGACUAAUGAAAAAACGUAAUGUAAAUCAGCUUGGAUCCAGGACAGAUAAGCUGUAGAAACACUGUCUGCACUUCAGGAGCAUAUCUGCGUAAAGAUAUAUGGAAAUAUAGACAAAAUCCUAAAGGUAA
RNAcentral lists this long non-coding RNA (511 nucleotides) under Equus asinus (donkey). RNAcentral describes it as "lncRNA (ENSEASG00005025641.1)". The record is from RNAcentral. Lineage: Eukaryota; Metazoa; Chordata; Mammalia; Perissodactyla; Equidae.